CCUACGGGAGGCAGCAGUAGGGAAUAUUGCUCAAUGGGGGAAACCCUGAAGCAGCAACGCCGCGUGGAGGAUGAAGGUUUUCGGAUUGUAAACUCCUUUUGUUAGAGAAGAUAAUGACGGUAUCUAACGAAUAAGCACCGGCUAACUCCGUGCCAGCAGCCGCGGUAAUACGGAGGGUGCAAGCGUUACUCGGAAUCACUGGGCGUAAAGAGCGCGAAGGCGGGAUAGCAAGUCAGAUGUGAAAUCCUAUGGGUUAAACAUAGAACUGCAUUUGAAACUGGUGUUCUAGAGUCUGGGGUAGGUAGGUGGAAUUCGUGGUGUAGGGGGGAAA
RNAcentral lists this ribosomal RNA (331 nucleotides) under uncultured bacterium. RNAcentral's name for it is "partial 16S ribosomal RNA". It matches the Rfam family "Bacterial small subunit ribosomal RNA", at positions 338 to 686 of the family's 1533-position model. The record is from RNAcentral.